GCUAGAUCUUUAAAAAAGUAAAUUUUAUUAACCCCAAACACGCCAGUUUUGAAGUACAUAUUAACCCCAUACACGCCAGAUCUGAAAAACAUUUUAUUAACCCCACACACGCCAGAUCUGAAGUACCGGUACAUUUUAUUAACCCAACAUAUGCCAGAUCUUAAGUACAUUUUAUUAACCCUGCAUACACCAGAUCUGAAAUACAUUUUAUUAACCACACAUACACCAGAUCACAAGUGCAUUUUAUUAACCCCCACAUACACCAGAUCUGAAGUACAUUUUAUUAACCCAACAUACGCCAGAUGUCAAGUGCAUUUUAUUAACCCCACACAUACCAGAUCUUUAUAAAGUACAUUUUAUUACCAUUACUCACACCAGAUCUGAAAUACAUUUUAUUAACCCAACAUACGCCAGACCUCAAGUACAUGUUAUUAACCCCACACACGCCAGAUCUUUAACGAAGUACAUUAUAUUAAACCCACACAGGCCAGAUCUUUAACGAAGUACAUUAUAUUAAACCUACACAGGCCAGAUCUUUACAAAGUACAAGUUAG
Molecule: non-coding RNA, 554 nt
Organism: Pelobates cultripes (western spadefoot toad)
Lineage: Eukaryota; Metazoa; Chordata; Amphibia; Anura; Pelobatidae
Source: the annotation of a GenBank genome assembly